This 530-nucleotide ribosomal RNA is filed under the name uncultured bacterium. Its description in RNAcentral is "bacterial SSU rRNA". It matches the Rfam family "Bacterial small subunit ribosomal RNA", at positions 346 to 892 of the family's 1533-position model. The record is from RNAcentral.
AGGCAGCAGUGGGGAAUUUUGCGCAAUGGGGGAAACCCUGACGCAGCAACGCCGCGUGGAGGAUGAAGUACUUCGGUACGUAAACUCCUUUCGAUCGGGACGAUAAUGACGGUACCGGAAGAAGAAGCCCCGGCUAACUUCGUGCCAGCAGCCGCGGUAAUACGAGGGGGGCAAGCGUUGUUCGGAAUUAUUGGGCGUAAAGGGUGCGUAGGCGGUUUGGUAAGUCUUUUGUGAAAUCUACAGGCUCAACUUGUAGACUGCAAGGGAAACUGCCGGGCUUGAGUAUGGGAGAGGUGAGUGGAAUUCCUGGUGUAGCGGUGAAAUGCGUAGAUAUCAGGAGGAACACCUGUGGGGAAAGCGGCUCACUGGUCCAUAACUGACGCUGAUGCACGAAAGCUAGGGGAGCAAACAGGAUUAGAUACCCUGGUAGUCCUAGCCCUAAACGAUGACUGCUUGGUGUGGCGGGUACCCAAUCCCGCCGUGCCGUAGCUAACGCGUUAAGCAGUCCGCCUGGGGAGUACGGUCGCAAG